This 636-nucleotide long non-coding RNA is filed under the name Marmota monax (woodchuck). The record is from RNAcentral. Lineage: Eukaryota; Metazoa; Chordata; Mammalia; Rodentia; Sciuridae.
GCGCACGCCUGUAAUCCUAGCAGCUCAGGAGGCUGAGGCAGGAGGAUCACAAGUUCAAAGGCAGCCUCAGCAGCUCAGCAAGGCUCUAAGCAACUCAGCAAGACCCUGCCUCUCUAUAAAACCUAAAAAAGGGCUAAACACACACACACACACACACACACACAUUCCUUUUCGUAAAUUUGCCCUGAAGUUCAACUGACAGGUGGUUUCUAUCCCAAUUACUCCCUCCUGUUUUCUCUGGUCUUUUCACCUGCUUUCCUAAUUUAUUGUCAUAUUCCAACAGAUUUAUUGAGGUACGAUUCACACCCUAUACAACUCACUGAAGUGUAAAGUGGCCCAUUCAAUGGUUUCUCACAGAGUUGGGCAACUGUCACCACCAUCUAAUUUUAGAACACUUUCAUCACCACCAAAGGAAACCUCGUCCCCCUGAGCAGUCACUCCUGUCCCUGUGCCACCCCUGCCCUCUGCUCUGGGCAACUGCUGAUCCCCUUCCUGUCACGGACGGGAGGCCUGCAGGCUGCUCCGUGUGUGCCUGGGCUUCCCUCCCCCGUUACCGGGCCCUCUCCAGGGUCCCUCCGCGGGCAGCAUGUGCGCGUCAGCUUCAGACCUCUGACGCCUGAGAGCGUUCCAUUUCAC